ACAAAGAGAAAUACCAGGUAACACAACAAAAAAGUAGCAUGCUCUUCACAAAUGAAUGAUAGAAAAGUAAUAUAUCUCUAUCCACUCUAAAUUGUCUUAGUUUGCACAUAAAAUGCAGCCUCUGCAGCCCCUUUUUAUAGAUGGUGUUGGUAUUACUGUCCCAUUGCAACUUAUUAUCUAUUAUUGUGCCUAAGUACUUGUACUCGACUACAAUCACAACAUCCUCACCAUUUUUAACCAUACACUGGGGGGGCUGGCUCCCAGUUCUGUACUGUAGUCUAUUAUUAUUUGCUUUGUUUUCUGUAUAUUUAGAAGAUGACAGCUGGACCUACACCAUUUCGCGAAUUGAUCCACCCAGGCCCUGUAGUUGGUCUCCUCGCUAUUCUGUAUUAACCCCACUAUUGCUGUGUCAUCUGCAGAUUUUAUGAGAUCCUUGCUCCUGAUAUCCCGAUGUAUGGGUUGCACUUCAUUAUAUGACUCCAACAGAACACUCACAGAAAGGAGAGUAGUAUCAAACUACAAGACAGCCAGCAUGUAAGCAAGGCCUUGUUUGUCCUUGUUUGGCUACUCAUUUGUCUACUUCCUGAAGAGGCUGAAGCAUGCUGGCCUCCUUGCUUCCAUUAACAGCUGUGUUAUGGAGUGCAUCCUCACAUCAUGGUCUACUGCAGCGGUGGAUACAGAGGACAAUUGGCAGGUUGUCAGCUGUUUGGUUAUCCCCAAAGCAGAAAGACAUGCCAGGAAGGAGCAAGGCAAAGCCCGGGGAUUUUUCUGCAGCUGUUCCUGCCCGUUAUAGAAGGACUGCUCCUGAGAAUAGAUGGGUGUCUACAUCGUUUUGCAAAAUGGGUCUUCUACACAUGAUGUUUGUCAAGCACUGCUCAUUGACUGGCCAGGGGUCCUCUGUAUUGUGACCACUGGUCAAAGGCGCCACAUGACUGUCUCAAAGUCCUCUACAUCAUUCCGGUGACGGGACUUCU
Long non-coding RNA from Alosa sapidissima (American shad), 974 nucleotides. RefSeq lists it as uncharacterized. NCBI's taxonomy places the organism in Eukaryota, Metazoa, Chordata, Actinopteri, Clupeiformes, Clupeidae. The record is from RefSeq and is a predicted model, not a curated record. The transcript has 3 exons.